This 1672-nucleotide ribosomal RNA is filed under the name Escherichia coli. RNAcentral's name for it is "bacterial LSU rRNA". It matches the Rfam family "Bacterial large subunit ribosomal RNA", at positions 1291 to 2925 of the family's 2925-position model. The record is from RNAcentral. RNAcentral also lists the same sequence under 6 other names. Lineage: Bacteria; Pseudomonadati; Pseudomonadota; Gammaproteobacteria; Enterobacterales; Enterobacteriaceae.
CGAAUGCUGACAUAAGUAACGAUAAAGCGGGUGAAAAGCCCGCUCGCCGGAAGACCAAGGGUUCCUGUCCAACGUUAAUCGGGGCAGGGUGAGUCGACCCCUAAGGCGAGGCCGAAAGGCGUAGUCGAUGGGAAACAGGUUAAUAUUCCUGUACUUGGUGUUACUGCGAAGGGGGGACGGAGAAGGCUAUGUUGGCCGGGCGACGGUUGUCCCGGUUUAAGCGUGUAGGCUGGUUUUCCAGGCAAAUCCGGAAAAUCAAGGCUGAGGCGUGAUGACGAGGCACUACGGUGCUGAAGCAACAAAUGCCCUGCUUCCAGGAAAAGCCUCUAAGCAUCAGGUAACAUCAAAUCGUACCCCAAACCGACACAGGUGGUCAGGUAGAGAAUACCAAGGCGCUUGAGAGAACUCGGGUGAAGGAACUAGGCAAAAUGGUGCCGUAACUUCGGGAGAAGGCACGCUGAUAUGUAGGUGAAGUCCCUCGCGGAUGGAGCUGAAAUCAGUCGAAGAUACCAGCUGGCUGCAACUGUUUAUUAAAAACACAGCACUGUGCAAACACGAAAGUGGACGUAUACGGUGUGACGCCUGCCCGGUGCCGGAAGGUUAAUUGAUGGGGUCAGCGCAAGCGAAGCUCUUGAUCGAAGCCCCGGUAAACGGCGGCCGUAACUAUAACGGUCCUAAGGUAGCGAAAUUCCUUGUCGGGUAAGUUCCGACCUGCACGAAUGGCGUAAUGAUGGCCAGGCUGUCUCCACCCGAGACUCAGUGAAAUUGAACUCGCUGUGAAGAUGCAGUGUACCCGCGGCAAGACGGAAAGACCCCGUGAACCUUUACUAUAGCUUGACACUGAACAUUGAGCCUUGAUGUGUAGGAUAGGUGGGAGGCUUUGAAGUGUGGACGCCAGUCUGCAUGGAGCCGACCUUGAAAUACCACCCUUUAAUGUUUGAUGUUCUAACGUGGACCCGUGAUCCGGGUUGCGGACAGUGUCUGGUGGGUAGUUUGACUGGGGCGGUCUCCUCCUAAAGAGUAACGGAGGAGCACGAAGGUUGGCUAAUCCUGGUCGGACAUCAGGAGGUUAGUGCAAUGGCAUAAGCCAGCUUGACUGCGAGCGUGACGGCGCGAGCAGGUGCGAAAGCAGGUCAUAGUGAUCCGGUGGUUCUGAAUGGAAGGGCCAUCGCUCAACGGAUAAAAGGUACUCCGGGGAUAACAGGCUGAUACCGCCCAAGAGUUCAUAUCGACGGCGGUGUUUGGCACCUCGAUGUCGGCUCAUCACAUCCUGGGGCUGAAGUAGGUCCCAAGGGUAUGGCUGUUCGCCAUUUAAAGUGGUACGCGAGCUGGGUUUAGAACGUCGUGAGACAGUUCGGUCCCUAUCUGCCGUGGGCGCUGGAGAACUGAGGGGGGCUGCUCCUAGUACGAGAGGACCGGAGUGGACGCAUCACUGGUGUUCGGGUUGUCAUGCCAAUGGCACUGCCCGGUAGCUAAAUGCGGAAGAGAUAAGUGCUGAAAGCAUCUAAGCACGAAACUUGCCCCGAGAUGAGUUCUCCCUGACCCUUUAAGGGUCCUGAAGGAACGUUGAAGACGACGACGUUGAUAGGCCGGGUGUGUAAGCGCAGCGAUGCGUUGAGCUAACCGGUACUAAUGAACCGUGAGGCUUAACCUUACAACGCCGAAGGUGUUU